Molecule: long non-coding RNA, 2583 nt
Filed under: Fragaria vesca (wild strawberry)
Lineage: Eukaryota; Viridiplantae; Streptophyta; Magnoliopsida; Rosales; Rosaceae
Description: long non-coding RNA (FVES_LNC001607)
Source: RNAcentral
ACAAUUUCAAGUAACUGGUUGAAUUAGUUUCUCUUGGACUUAAACGAUCAUGAAACUUCCAGCUACACUUAGCUAUCCUUUCUGACUCCAAUCAAACGAGCCUUUACUUGCAGCAGUUGAGAAUGAUACUAGUAUCUGUAAUUAAAUCAAGAGUUCCCUGCAAAACAAUAUACCAAGAUUCAAAAGGUAUCUAAACAAUCUUCAUAUGUGGAACAACUAUUAUGAGAAAUAGAACAAAGUGAAACUAGAUAGCUCACUCAACUUGGUACAAUAUGACCUCUCUCACUCAGUGAACAAAACCUUCCCUAAUAUCCUUAUCUUCUGGGAAACCAUUCAAAAUAUACUAGCAGCCAUUUUCGUUUUCUUUUUCUUUGUACAAAUCAGUAUGAAGGAAGAUGUAUAAGAAGUAAUGUAAUACAUAGGUUAAUAGGUUAGGCUCUGUAAUUCACAGUUCAAAACAAUUCCUCAAACUGAUCAAGUGGGUCAAAUGAGGCUUCCUAUUCAAACCAUUCCAUGGACUUUUGUACAGACCUUCAGUAUCUUUUGACCAACUCUAUAGGUCAGCAAUUAAACAUAUGAACACUUACAAAUCCCACAUAACAUAUGUACCAGAACAAUCAAAUUUUGAGUAUAAAUCAAAACCCAAAAACCAAUGGCGGAACCAGGAAUCAGAAGUGGGUUGGGCUGGAUUUCGAUGUGACUGUGUUUUCAAUGAAAGUGAAAAUCUAUAUGAUAUUGAACAGAUGGGAAGGCAGCCUGAAGCAGAAGAUCGCAAUGGUCAUGUUUCAAGAGAAAUGGAGGCCUUGAGAAAUAGUAUCGCUGCAAGUUUAAUGGGGACACCUAUUUGAACAUGAGUAGAAUAUGCUACAUGCAUGCGGAUAUGCAUUUUUGUUUAGUUUUUGCCAUAUUAUGUUUAAUAUCUUUAGUUGCAGACUUGCAGUAAGGAUAUUUGAAUUAUGAUUACCUAUUUUGAAUAAUUUAGAGGUGCCUGAGAGCACUUGAUUCUACUGUUUCUCUGAAUUUUUUUUUGUCCAUGAUUUGUCCCUCUUAAGAUCUUGGAUGAGACUAUCUUCUUGUGGUGUAUCCUUACAUAAGAAAUAAUUUGUGCAUAUUGAUGGAGUGAUGAACAAUGAUAUUGGGCUACUAGAUAGAUUCAAUCAAAAUUGGGGUUUUCACCAUUGUCUUCAAUGGUGUGUCGUCUGUGUAAUGGUGUUCUUGUCAUCUUCUUCUUCUUUUUUGUUACAAUAUGGUGUUCUUGUCUUUAGUCUCAUAUUGCUCUCCUUGCAACUGAUAUGCCAAUUUGACAAAGGUUUUGAAUAUUUAUAGUCUUUUAGAAAACUAUUGUCUAUUUUGGUCAUUGUCCAGAAUUAAUGUGUUUUGAAAGUCACGUUACCAAACACCAAUAAUCAGCUUUUUUUUAACUACACCACUUAUGAAAUAUUAUUACCAAACAUUUAAUAGAUUAAUUUGACAGCUGAUUAUUCUCAUAGCUGAGUUUUCUCACCACAGUGAUUUCUCACCGCAAUACUAAACUGGCCCUAAGGAGAAAAAAAUAGGGGAAGAAUAGGAAAGGAGAAAAGUAGAGAUAUUAAUUGUGAAAAUAGUAGAAAAUAUUUGUAAGAAAAAUAGGACAGAGAAAAAAUAAUUUAAAAGAAACUAAUUAAUGGGGGAAAGAGGAGAAAGAAGAAAGAAAAAAAAAGGAAGAAAAGCAAUUAGAAGAAAAGGUGGGAAAGAGAAGAAAGAAACAGGAUGAAAAUGAAGACAAAUAAAUAUGGGAGGAAACAGGAUUCGAACUGGUAACCUGAAGUUACUAAUAAAAAACAUAGUAGGUAGUUAGCCAACUGAACAAAUUGAAGUAAUGUUAAUAGUGGCACCUAUACUAGUACAAGUAGCACAUAUUUUCGUCUGGGCUAUAGUCGUACUAGCCCUCAACAUAGUUCCGCCACUGCCAAAAACUACACUAAUUCCCAUUUGCAACCGAAAUAAAUUAUUCUGCGGAAACGACCAAAAUUUCAACAAUGAAAUAGAAAACCAGCAAUGAAAUCAUCAAACAAUACACAACAGCUCCAUGAUUUACCAAUUGAAGAAGAAGAAAAAACAAGAAAAAAAAAACCCUAAAAUCGAGCGAGUAAAUCUAAGAAAAAUACCUUCAAUGAUGACCGGCCUAAUGACAAUGAGGAUGAAUCAUUAAUGGUAUGGGAAGGCUCUGAGGCAUUGUGGAUGGACUGAGAAUUGAGACGAGAUCUAGAGGAGGGAAAUUAAGAGAUUAAGCAUGUGUGGACUGCGGUUUGGCAGAGUGGAGAGACGUUAUUGGGUGAACGUGAUUCGGGUUUUACAGGUUUGAUUUUCUAUCCGUUUGAUUAGUUCAGUAAAGAUCUGAUGGCUGAGGUGAUUUUGUCUUUUUCUGUACCGUUAAUUAAGUCUCGCAAGUGAACGGGCCUGAUAAUUCAACAACCUGGUAGCUUGUUUCCACUGGGUUUGGCUGCUAUACUGAUGUGUAUAGCAUACAAACUGAUGGGAUAUGCCACGUGCAAGGCACGUGAAGAGAGAUUCAAAGGUUUAACCGAUUAUCACCGGUUCCNN